This 566-nucleotide ribosomal RNA is filed under the name uncultured Lachnum. RNAcentral describes it as "eukaryotic LSU rRNA". The stretch from base 222 to 375 matches the Rfam family "5.8S ribosomal RNA". The record is from RNAcentral. Lineage: Eukaryota; Fungi; Ascomycota; Leotiomycetes; Helotiales; Hyaloscyphaceae.
AUUGGAAGUAAAAGUCGUAACAAGGUUUCCGUAGGUGAACCUGCGGAAGGAUCAUUACAGAGUUCAUGCCCUUCGGGGUAGAUCUCCCACCCUUGUGUAUCAUUAUAGAAUGUUGCUUUGGCGGGCCGCGCCUAGUGUGCCUGGAUUCGCGUUCAGCGUGCCCGCCAGAGGACCCCUAAACUCUGAAUGUUAGUGUCGUCUGAGUACUAUUAAAUAGUUAAAACUUUCAACAACGGAUCUCUUGGUUCUGGCAUCGAUGAAGAACGCAGCGAAAUGCGAUAAGUAAUGUGAAUUGCAGAAUUCAGUGAAUCAUCGAAUCUUUGAACGCACAUUGCGCCCCCUGGUAUUCCGGGGGGCAUGCCUGUUCGAGCGUCAUUUAUACCAAUCUAGCCCGGCUAGGUGUUGGGCUUCGCCGUUUGGCGGGCCUUAAAACCAGUGGCGGUGCUCUUAGGCUCUACGCGUAGUAAUUUUCUCGCUAUAGGGUCCUGGGAGAUGCUUGCCAGCAACCCCAAAUUUUUCUUAGGUUGACCUCGGAUCAGGUAGGGAUACCCGCUGAACUUAAGCAU